AUGCGCAACGGCUCACCGUUGGAUUCCAUGCGAGAAGCCGUGUUGACGGUGUCGCCGAACAAGCAGUAGCGCGGCAUCGUCAGCCCCACCACGCCCGCCACCACCGCACCUGCACAACCAUAUGGUGGGCAGCGGGAACUCGAAGGGCGGCAUGCUGUUGUAGUCGCGCACGCGGCUGGUGAAGUACUCGUAGCUGCCCUCGGGCUCCGACGACACCACCACCAGCAGCGACUGCGCGCGGCGCCGGAACUCCGCGGAGUUGGGGCACACCAGCUUCGACGCGCGGUCCUCCGUCUCUGUGGAGACACACGCCACGUCACCAUUACGCCUUCUUUCUUUUUUGAGCCUAAUUUUUUGGGAUCGCUAAGGUUUCGCAACUGGACGUACAGCCACUACUUUGGCAAAGAUAUAGAGUAUAAAUAAAAUUUGACAUCUGA
Long non-coding RNA from Melitaea cinxia (Glanville fritillary), 437 nucleotides. RefSeq lists it as uncharacterized. The transcript is spliced from 2 exons. The record is from RefSeq and is a predicted model, not a curated record. NCBI's taxonomy places the organism in Eukaryota, Metazoa, Arthropoda, Insecta, Lepidoptera, Nymphalidae.